Molecule: long non-coding RNA, 874 nt
Filed under: Gossypium barbadense (sea-island cotton)
Lineage: Eukaryota; Viridiplantae; Streptophyta; Magnoliopsida; Malvales; Malvaceae
Description: long non-coding RNA (GBAR_LNC016733)
Source: RNAcentral
CAACACCCAAAAUCAAAAUAAAUAAAAUCCAAAAAAUAUAUUAAACUGUCCAUGACCCAUUACAUAUCAAGCCCAAUUGACCCAAUUACAACCAAACCAAGCCCCAAACCCUAAACAGCCUAAUGGAGCCCAAAACUAAAAUUUUUUUCAUAAACCCUAGGGUUCCCUCCUUCUUUUGUGUCGUUGCCUCUUUUUGGGUCACCCGAGGUGCCUCGUCCUGAGGUUUGCCUCCUCCUUCUGGCCCUUGCACCAAAAUGGCAAGGUCACCUCCGUUGACCUUGCCUAACCCUACAAAACCAAGCAAAAAGGGAUGACAGAAACACAGAGAAAAGAAAAAGAAUCUCUGUAAUCAACUAUAAAGCCAAAAGAUGUAAUUUUUUAAUACAGAGACAAUCGAAUACUCAGAGAAUUCAAAAUCAAUAGAAAAAUCCCGAAAGGUUUACAUUUAUUGCCUUUUUAAAUUUUCGUCUCAUUUUUUUGUCUACUGUUAUUUAUUUUUAUCAUAUUAACACAUACAAAAGUAAAAUAAAAGGAAAAAGGGAGUAAAAACUUACCUGUAUUCGGAUUUUCAAUGCUGAAGAAGGCCGAGGAAGUCACCUCCGAUGAUAGGCGGUCAGAAAUCGAAGGGUUUCUUGGGCUUUUGGGGCAUUUUUGUUAAUAUUUCAAGGGUUUUGAACCCAGAUUUGGGUUUAGAAAGGUCGAAAAGACUAGGUAGGAGAUUUUCUACCUUUUCUGGCCACCGCAGACGGCGGUGCCGUCGCUGGAGAUCGACAGCCGAUGCAGUGGCCGAUGGUUUGGAUGUUGCCCGGACUCUAGGGAGAACUUACUGAGGGGAGAGGAUUUUUCUGAGAGGUUUUGUUUUGUUUUUUUUAAG